Small nucleolar RNA from Nannospalax galili (Upper Galilee mountains blind mole rat), 125 nucleotides. NCBI's taxonomy places the organism in Eukaryota, Metazoa, Chordata, Mammalia, Rodentia, Spalacidae. The record is from Ensembl.
AGCACUUUGUGUGUUUCUUCAACUUGUAGGCAGAGGCAUGAGAGACAGAUGCAAAAGCACAUCCUCUUUUGUAACCCAGAGCUCAUUGUUUAGUAUGAGUUUUGGUACAUGCAAGAAGGAGUAUG